CUUUUAUCAGGAGAAGGUGGAGGGACAGGCCCUGUGAAACCCAGCAACCAUCUGUAGUCAUGCAGAUAAGGUGCCAACCUGGCAAAACAUCAUCUGUUUUGCAAGAUAAGAG
This 112-nucleotide non-coding RNA is filed under the name Geomicrobium sp. JCM 19038. Its description in RNAcentral is "SAM riboswitch aptamer (S box leader)". It matches the Rfam family "SAM riboswitch aptamer (S box leader)". From Rfam's summary of the family: The SAM riboswitch is found upstream of a number of genes which code for proteins involved in methionine or cysteine biosynthesis in Gram-positive bacteria. Lineage: Bacteria; Bacillati; Bacillota; Bacilli; Caryophanales. The record is from Rfam by way of RNAcentral. RNAcentral also lists the same sequence under 1 other name.